CAAACUUCGGUGUGAGAGACAAAGAAAUACAAGUAUAAAAUCAAAGAAGAAGAAAAAAAGAAAAAACCAACAACUCUGAAUUGCUGAUCCCCAAAACUGCUACCUUCUUAUCUUGAAAACUGCUAAUUAAAGGUUUGGGGGUACACGUACUUACAACUGUAUUAAUUGAGACCCACGAGGCAAGAUAAAAUCUGCAGCUAAGGAGAAAUGUUUUACAGUUCAUUACACAUGAAAUAUUAAAUACGCUUCUAUUAGAAACUGUUACCGUGUUGGCAAGGAUUAACAGACUUGUAGCUAAAAAAAAAAAAAAAAAAGAAUCGCACUGUAUUUUAUCUAGAGUAUUUAAUUCUCCGUCUCUUCCUCUGUGUGAAAGGCACCUAGAAGAACAGAAUUAUAAGGAAGAGAAUGGGGUUAGAAAUUUGUAGAAGACCAAGAAAGGUCUAAUGUAUAACAAUUUUUAAAACUUCAUGUGGAAAAAUUAUUCAUUUCACCAGUGACAUUAGGAUCUACUUAUGACCUUUGGUAAGGAGCAACACUGGUAAGACAAACACAUCCUAUUAUUUAUUGGGGCUUUCUUAGGAUUAAAGGUAAAUGUGCUGGUGUGACAGUUUACCCUGUGAUCUAUCAGAAUAGAAAACCUUACAUACUGUUGGCACUGGUGGUGACCAUAUAAUACAAUUCCCUUUUUACAG
This is a long non-coding RNA of Gorilla gorilla gorilla (western lowland gorilla), 692 nucleotides long. RefSeq lists it as uncharacterized. Lineage: Eukaryota; Metazoa; Chordata; Mammalia; Primates; Hominidae. The transcript is spliced from 4 exons. The record is from RefSeq and is a predicted model, not a curated record.